GAUGAACGCUGGCGGCGUGCCUAAUACAUGCAAGUCGAGCGAACGGACGAGAAGCUUGCUUCUCUGAUGUUAGCGGCGGACGGGUGAGUAACACGUGGAUAACCUACCUAUAAGACUGGGAUAACUUCGGGAAACCGGAGCUAAUACCGGAUAAUAUUUUGAACCGCAUGGUUCAAAAGUGAAAGACGGUCUUGCUGUCACUUAUAGAUGGAUCCGGGCUGCAUUAGCUAGUUGGUAAGGUAACGGCUUACCAAGGCAACGAGGCAUAGCCGACCUGAGAGGGUGAUCGGCCACACGGGAACUGAGACACGGUCCAGACUCCUACGGGAGGCAGCAGUAGGGAAUCUUCCGCAAUGGGCGAAAGCCUGACGGAGCAACGCCGCGUGAGUGAUGAAGGUCUUCGGAUCGUAAAACUCUGUUAUUAGGGAAGAACAUAUGUGUAAGUAACUGUGCACAUCUUGACGGUACCUAAUCAGAAAGCCACGGCUAACUACGUG
This 497-nucleotide ribosomal RNA is filed under the name uncultured bacterium. Its description in RNAcentral is "partial 16S ribosomal RNA". It matches the Rfam family "Bacterial small subunit ribosomal RNA", at positions 28 to 507 of the family's 1533-position model. The record is from RNAcentral.